AUACCUUUCUCGGCCUUUUGGCUAAGAUCAAGUGUAUUAUCUGUUCUUAACAGUUUAAUAUCUGAUAUGUGGGUCAUUGGCCCACUCGAUAUUAAUCUAAUUUUUUAUGGGGAAAGAUCCGUCACAAUAGCUUGCUAUUGAGGUUUUUGGUGUUGACGUUGCACUUUUGCCUUGGCAUGGCGAACCCCU
This is a small nuclear RNA of Lactuca sativa (garden lettuce), 189 nucleotides long. RefSeq annotates it as U2 spliceosomal RNA. Lineage: Eukaryota; Viridiplantae; Streptophyta; Magnoliopsida; Asterales; Asteraceae. The record is from RefSeq and is a predicted model, not a curated record.